UGCAUCGGCCGGGAAUCGAACCCGUGCCGCCGGCGUGGCAGGCGAGCAUUCUACCACUGAACCACCGAUUGUUAUGC
This 77-nucleotide transfer RNA is filed under the name Cordylochernes scorpioides. Its description in RNAcentral is "tRNA-Gly". The record is from RNAcentral. Lineage: Eukaryota; Metazoa; Arthropoda; Arachnida; Pseudoscorpiones; Chernetidae.